This 1491-nucleotide long non-coding RNA is filed under the name Salvator merianae (Argentine black and white tegu). Its description in RNAcentral is "lncRNA (ENSSMRG00000003011.1)". Lineage: Eukaryota; Metazoa; Chordata; Lepidosauria; Squamata; Teiidae. The record is from RNAcentral.
GCGCCGCGCCUGCAACUCCGUCCGUUUGCAGUUUGGGGCGGGAGGUGGGAGGAGCCGCUUGGGGGGCGAAUGGGAAACGCGCCUCCCCUCCCUCUGCUCCGCGCAAGACGUGAAGGCCUCUUGGGGGCUCCUGAAUGGGGGCAGGGUGGGAAAACUUCUGUUUCCCCUUUCCCCCGCCUGUCCUUCACCCCCGUGGAGCUGUUGCAAGAGCGGCAGGUUGCGGCUGAGCGUCCUGCGAGCACUGCGCUAAGGGCUGCCCGCAUUCCUUUCUCUGUCCUGAAGGACGGAAUCGCUUUGCUCUGGCCUGGUCACCUUCUUGGGGCCGUGCUGACCUGUGCGACGCUGACCUCUCCGCUCUUGCCUUCUGGCUGGGCUCCCAUCUGGCCCUCUCUGGGCGGUGGCUUUUUCUUAGUGAUUGCUUCCNAUGGAGUGGUGUGUCUGUUCUUUCCUGGAGAUCUUCUUCUUAUUUCUUGAGCUGAGGUGCUAACAAGGACUCGAUGCGUCAACCCCACAGAGCCGCGGGCCAAGGAGGCGCCAUCCUGGCACGCUGAGGGAAAGGCGGCAGCGAAAGAACACGCACAGCACAGCUGCGCUCCUCCUGUGUGCCUCGCCUCGCGGGUAGCGUGGGUCUCCUCCGAGGAGGCUGGCGGAGCACCGGCAGAGACGCAGGCGCAGGGCCCUAACCCNCUGCGGAACCCGAACGGUCAGUCGGAGCCCCAGGGGAGCGUCCAAACCGUUUAACCCGUUGAAGCCACGCGGGGCUUUCCUGCUUCCCGUCUCCCACUCGCUUCGAAGGGGGGGCAAGAGAGCGCCGUGGCUGCAUGGGCCCCCCAUGCUACAGCAUCUGCUGCUGCCUUGGGCUCCGCCAUCCGACGGAUCACCUGGCACGCUUCAAGGGGCGCUUGGGUCGGGUGUUGGCUGGGCGGGGGCGUCGCCCUGGUCUCUGGGCAGACGGGAGCUGGGAGAGGCCAGAACUGCUCCNGUUGGCCCGGGUGGGCGUGUAGCAAGCGGCGGCUGCGUGUGGCAAAUAUGCCCUGCAGUCACCAGCAGAUGUGUUUUGCUACUCUUGCCAGUUUCUUCGACUGCAGCUUAACACGGUGGCUGAGAACGCUUGCUGAGGCAUCGCCUUCUCCAUUUAGCGUGUUUAAUACUCAUCCAAUCCUUGUCCUGCAACGGUAAACCACAGAAUUUUCCUAAGCGUGUCAGAGACCUCCUCCUUAUUUCUCUUGUUUCUGGUUCUGCUGCUGUCAUUGGCAGCCAUUACGUGGGUUUGCUGUUCAGGGCAGAAACAUGCAGGCUCCCUUGGGUACGGAAACCCCAGCGUGCCAGGUGCGCUUCGAAAACGCCUAGGUAGGCAGAGAGGCGCCUGCCAUUUCGAAUCCAGGCCUUCUUUUGAAAGUAGCCAGGCUGGCCGGCAACCCCGCACUGCGUGAGAGUGAAUUGUGCGGCACACGUCCCAGGAAGGGGGUGUCGGGGGGGGCAGGCGACGAG